This 274-nucleotide ribosomal RNA is filed under the name uncultured bacterium. Its description in RNAcentral is "partial 16S ribosomal RNA". It matches the Rfam family "Bacterial small subunit ribosomal RNA", at positions 523 to 796 of the family's 1533-position model. The record is from RNAcentral.
AUACAGAGGGUGCGAGCGUUAAUCGGAAUUACUGGGCGUAAAGCGCGCGUAGGCGGCUACUUAAGUCAGAUGUGAAAUCCCCGGGCUCAACCUGGGAACUGCAUCUGAUACUGGGUAGCUAGAGUUUUGGAGAGGGAAGUAGAAUUCCAGGUGUAGCGGUGAAAUGCAUAGAGAUCUGAAGGAAUACCAGUGGCGAAGGCGACUUCCUGGCCAAAAACUGACGCUGAGGUGCGAAAGCGUGGGUAGCAAACGGGAUUAGAAACCCUAGUAGUCC